RNAcentral lists this ribosomal RNA (1530 nucleotides) under Pseudomonas sp. GV085. RNAcentral describes it as "bacterial LSU rRNA". It matches the Rfam family "Bacterial large subunit ribosomal RNA", at positions 1 to 1528 of the family's 2925-position model. The record is from RNAcentral. Lineage: Bacteria; Pseudomonadati; Pseudomonadota; Gammaproteobacteria; Pseudomonadales; Pseudomonadaceae.
UGCGAAUUUUCGGCGAAUGUCGUCUUCACAGUAUAACCAGAUUGCUUGGGGUUAUAUGGUCAAGUGAAGAAGCGCAUACGGUGGAUGCCUUGGCAGUCAGAGGCGAUGAAAGACGUGGUAGCCUGCGAAAAGCUUCGGGGAGUCGGCAAACAGACUUUGAUCCGGAGAUGUCUGAAUGGGGGAACCCAGCCAUCAUAAGAUGGUUAUCUUGUACUGAAUACAUAGGUGCAAGAGGCGAACCAGGGGAACUGAAACAUCUAAGUACCCUGAGGAAAAGAAAUCAACCGAGAUUCCCUUAGUAGUGGCGAGCGAACGGGGACUAGCCCUUAAGUGGCUUUGAGAUUAGCGGAACGCUCUGGAAAGUGCGGCCAUAGUGGGUGAUAGCCCUGUACGCGAAAAUCUCUUGGUCAUGAAAUCGAGUAGGACGGAGCACGAGAAACUUUGUCUGAAUAUGGGGGGACCAUCCUCCAAGGCUAAAUACUACUGACUGACCGAUAGUGAACUAGUACCGUGAGGGAAAGGCGAAAAGAACCCCGGAGAGGGGAGUGAAAUAGAUCCUGAAACCGUAUGCGUACAAGCAGUGGGAGCCCACUUUGUUGGGUGACUGCGUACCUUUUGUAUAAUGGGUCAGCGACUUAUUUUCAGUGGCGAGCUUAACCGAAUAGGGGAGGCGUAGCGAAAGCGAGUCUUAAUAGGGCGUCUAGUCGCUGGGAAUAGACCCGAAACCGGGCGAUCUAUCCAUGGGCAGGUUGAAGGUUAGGUAACACUGACUGGAGGACCGAACCGACUACCGUUGAAAAGUUAGCGGAUGACCUGUGGAUCGGAGUGAAAGGCUAAUCAAGCUCGGAGAUAGCUGGUUCUCCUCGAAAGCUAUUUAGGUAGCGCCUCAUGUAUCACUGUAGGGGGUAGAGCACUGUUUCGGCUAGGGGGUCAUCCCGACUUACCAAACCGAUGCAAACUCCGAAUACCUACAAGUGCCGAGCAUGGGAGACACACGGCGGGUGCUAACGUCCGUCGUGAAAAGGGAAACAACCCAGACCGUCAGCUAAGGUCCCAAAGUUAUGGUUAAGUGGGAAACGAUGUGGGAAGGCUUAGACAGCUAGGAGGUUGGCUUAGAAGCAGCCACCCUUUAAAGAAAGCGUAAUAGCUCACUAGUCGAGUCGGCCUGCGCGGAAGAUGUAACGGGGCUCAAACCAUACACCGAAGCUACGGGUAUCACCUUCGGGUGAUGCGGUAGAGGAGCGUUCUGUAAGCCUGUGAAGGUGAGUUGAGAAGCUUGCUGGAGGUAUCAGAAGUGCGAAUGCUGACAUGAGUAACGACAAUGGGUGUGAAAAACACCCACGCCGAAAGACCAAGGUUUCCUGCGCAACGUUAAUCGACGCAGGGUUAGUCGGUCCCUAAGGCGAGGCUGAAAAGCGUAGUCGAUGGAAAACAGGUUAAUAUUCCUGUACUUCUGGUUAUUGCGAUGGAGGGACGGAGAAGGCUAGGCCAGCUUGGCGUUGGUUGUCCAAGUUUAAGGUGGUAGGCUGG